Long non-coding RNA from Mesocricetus auratus (golden hamster), 2049 nucleotides. RefSeq lists it as uncharacterized. The record is from RefSeq and is a predicted model, not a curated record. The transcript has 4 exons. NCBI's taxonomy places the organism in Eukaryota, Metazoa, Chordata, Mammalia, Rodentia, Cricetidae.
UUUGAGAUUGCUGCAGAAUAUGCUUGGAAUGCAAUAUGCUGAGAUAAGAAAGAAUAGCCUGAAAAAGCCCCAGCCCCAGCCUUGUUCCUGUCCUUCUUAAGGAACACAUCUGAAGCUAGGGAGGAACUGCCCAGACUUUGUUCCUUUGCCCUGGAAGCACAAUGUACUUCGAACAUUUUUCUGGGGCAAAACCCCGGGUCUUCAGCUUUGAGAAGAAGUGGUUCCAGAUGUGAGGACCUAGCACCAGCACCUUCAUCUUCUAGAGGCUUCUUUAGCCAUCCACUAUCCCAAGACUUGGGUUUUAGGGCUCCGGAACCUGUGCUUCAAUUGUGAGAAAUACAGAGGCAUGGUGGACUCCUUUAUGGACUGGCACAAUGACACAGAAGUCACAGUCCUUUCACAUGCCACAGACCUGUUCUUUAAGAUCCUCAAGAGCCAAACGAUUUGGCACCUCUCCCAUCUCAAAGAAAAGGAUCAGAUAUGUUAAAAGAUGUCACACUUGAUGGACAGUUGACGAACUAUCCACCAUGAAACUUUUGAUUGCCCAGUAUAUUCCUGUUACCAUCUCCAAUCUGCUCUACAUCAGUUCCUUGUUCCACCCAUCAGAACUAAUGGACUCUUCUGGUCCCAAUGCUGGCCUUCCCCAGCAGCAGAAAAUGUGACAAUCAUCUUCCUACCUGAAAGGGUGGCAAAGUUUGUUUCUUUCCUGGUUCUUCCCACUGAAGACUGAAAUACUCUACUCUUAGCUGCUGGUUAUUCGUGUCCUGUGCUGUCAGAACUGUGCACACAGUUGACAUCUCCAUCCCUUGUCUCGUAGCUUCCCAUUAGUGAGCCUUCCUGCCUGGUCUCCUUUCUGCCUCUCUGCCCCCAACCCCUGGUUUUCUUUGGCUUAAAUUUCUGAAAACCUCAGGUCUGGGAGGAAAGGCGUUAACGAUACAUUUGACCAGGUUAUCACCUAUUUAGCAGCACAAGAAAAUUUUUGUGAGAAGGUCUCAUCCCUAUGGGGCAAUGCCCUGCCCCCUUGACUUAGUGAGGAAAGUUCAGGCAGCAUUAGGGAGAGGAGCAUGACAGAGGCCUUCAUGGAGCCACAGCCUGCAGGUAGCUGGCUACUGUACACAGGAAAAAGGCUGUUUCCAUAAUCAUCACCAAGAGGAUUUUUUUCUCUCUGCUCUAAGAAAGCAAAGGAAUUUGAAAUGAGGCCAUUUGGUGACAGUUUGAUCAAACUCACCCCCCCACCCUUUCAGAAUCAUGAAUCAGUCAUGAACACGGUAAGUUAAAGCAAGAGUUGAUUUCCCUAGGGCUAUUUUUGAAGUUCUGUUGUUCCCCUUUCCCACCUCCUUCCAUUUAACAUUCAUGAGUCAAGGUGUGGGGAGAACACACCGACCUUCACCUGGAAAGAAUGUACUGACAGUUGAUAUAUGGGCAGGUAAGCUUUGGAAAGGCUGCUGUUGCUGCAGUUCAGCAUACCAAGCCCCGUUUGGGUGAUGGGGCUUACCGCUGAGGUGUUUCACUAGAAACCUUGCUAUUUCUUGGUGCAGUUUCAAGGAUUAAGGCGCUAUGGCUCCAUACCUUUCUAAAGACAUCGUACCCUCUUUCUUCUUUUGUCCCCAAAGAGAUCUUUAAACACAGCACAUUUGCUUUCACUCUCUUUAGAUCCUCAUGGCACGCCUGUAAAAUACACAGGUCUAGCCCACUCCUCCAAACACAGAAAUUAGUGCACAGAAAGGUGAAAGGUCACAUACCUAGUAUGUGAUCACGUUUCAUAUGUCUUAAACCCAUGUCUAGACGUCCAGACUCAUUUUGCUAUCCGGUGCCACUUUGCUUGUUUUUAGAAUGAAAGGAAUUUGGUGUGACAUACUAUGGGCUUUCUGCAACUCUUAACAACACAAGAAACCAAAGCCAGUCUUUUGGGUUGGUAUGAUUUGAAGAGUGCUGGGGAACAGUGUCCCUCCGUCUCAUAGUAGCCAGAAUAGAAGAUAUAUGCCUGUGUGUGUAGGGGGAUGGUAGGGAAUAAGAUGUGGAGGACUAUAAACCGUUCGUUCAUUCGUU